Molecule: long non-coding RNA, 358 nt
Organism: Pungitius pungitius (ninespine stickleback)
Lineage: Eukaryota; Metazoa; Chordata; Actinopteri; Perciformes; Gasterosteidae
Exons: 3
Source: RefSeq, a predicted model, not a curated record
CAGAAGCAGAAGUUCGAGAAAAGCUCACAUGUGAUGUUCAUCUGUUGUCUGCAUUUCCACGUUUCUCUGCAUGUUUCACACCUUUCAAACUGUCUCUUGACACGAAGCGUUUCUCACAAGCAGCGAGUCAGAGAGUCAGAGAGGACGUGAGGACGUGAGGAUGGGACACACUUUGUUUGCUGUGUGGGGGCUUUUCUUGCUGAAUAUUCUCCUCCACUGUGGACACGCUCAAGAUGUUUUGCUGCAUUUUGAGCCAAACUGGUCCCCUUUAUUUACUGGAGAGAAAGUUACCUUCAUAUGUGACUCAAGGAAAGGAAACAAUGCUGAAUGGAAUUAUGGAUUCAGUAGGAAUGGUCAU